UACGUAGGGUGCGAGCGUUGUCCGGAAUUAUUGGGCGUAAAGGGCGCGUAGGCGGGCUGCCAAGUCCGGGGUGAAAUCCUCUGGCCCAACCAGAGAACGGCCUCGGAUACUGGCGGUCUGGAGGGGGAUAGGGGCACGCGGAACCGUGGGUGGAGCGGUGAAAUGCGUUGAGAUCCACAGGAACUCCGGUGGCGAAGGCGGCGUGCUGGAUCCCACCUGACGCUGAGGCGCGAAAGCCAGGGGAGCGAACGGG
Molecule: ribosomal RNA, 253 nt
Filed under: uncultured bacterium
Lineage: Bacteria
Description: partial 16S ribosomal RNA
Rfam family: Bacterial small subunit ribosomal RNA
Source: RNAcentral